GUCAGGAUGUCCGAGUGGUUAAGGAGUGAGACUUGAAUUGCCUCGCGCAUCGAAAUCUCAUGGGUUCGCCCGCGCAGGUUCGAACCCUGUUCCUGACG
Trichophaea hybrida is the source of this 98-nucleotide non-coding RNA. NCBI's taxonomy places the organism in Eukaryota, Fungi, Ascomycota, Pezizomycetes, Pezizales, Pyronemataceae. The record is from the annotation of a GenBank genome assembly.